This 436-nucleotide ribosomal RNA is filed under the name uncultured soil bacterium. RNAcentral's name for it is "bacterial SSU rRNA". It matches the Rfam family "Bacterial small subunit ribosomal RNA", at positions 26 to 458 of the family's 1533-position model. The record is from RNAcentral.
AGAGUGAACGCUGGCGGCAGGCCUAACACAUGCAAGUCGAACGGCAGCACAGCAGUAGCAAUACUGUGGGUGGCGAGUGGCGGACGGGUGAGGAAUACAUCGGAAUCUACCUUGUCGUGGGGGAUAACGUAGGGAAACUUACGCUAAUACCGCAUACGAACUAUGGUUGAAAGCGGCGGACCGCAAGGCGUCGCGCGAUUGGAUGAGCCGAUGUCCGAUUAGCUAGUUGGCGGGUAAAGGCCCACCAAGGCGACGAUCGGUAGCUGGUCUGAGAGGAUGAUCAGCCACACUGGAACUGAGACACGGUCCAGACUCCUAGGGAGCAGCAGUGGGGAAUAUUGGACAAGUGGGGCAACCCGUGAUCCAGCCAUCGCCGCGUGUGUGAAGAAGUCCGUUCGGUUAGUAAGCUACUUUGUGGAAGAAAGCACGUGGUUAA